This 345-nucleotide unclassified non-coding RNA is filed under the name soil metagenome. RNAcentral's name for it is "partial contains 5.8S ribosomal RNA, internal transcribed spacer 2, and large subunit ribosomal RNA". The stretch from base 1 to 119 matches the Rfam family "5.8S ribosomal RNA", at positions 35 to 154 of the family's 154-position model. The record is from RNAcentral.
GAUGAAGAACGUAGCGAAAUGCGAUACGUAAUGUGAAUUGCAAAUUCAGUGAAUCAUCGAGUCCUUGAACGCACAUUGCGCCCCCUGGUAUUCCGGGGGGCAUGCCUGUCCGAGCGUCAUUGCUGCCCUCAAGCACGGCUUGUGUGUUGGGCCCCGUCCUCCGAUCCCGGGGGACGGGCCCGAAAGGCAGCGGCGGCACCGCGUCCGGUCCUCGAGCGUAUGGGGCUUUGUCACCCGCUCUGUAGGCCCGGCCGGCGCUUGCCGAUCAACCCAAAUUUUUAUCCAGGUUGACCUCGGAUCAGGUAGGGAUACCCGCUGAACUUAAGCAUAUCAAUAAGCGGAGGA